AGAGUUUGAUCCUGGCUCAGGAGAACGCUGGCGGCGUGCUUAACACAUGCAAGUCGAACGGUGAAGCUCCAGCUUGCUGGAGUGGAUCAGUGGCGAACGGGUGAGUAACACGUGAGCAACCUGCCCCAGACUCUGGAAUAAGCGCUGGAAACGGCGUCUAAUACUGGAUACGAGACCAACCUGCAUGGGUAUGGUCUGGAAAGUUUUCGGUUUGGGAUGGGCUCGCGGCCUAUCAGCUUGUUGGUGAGGUAAUGGCUCACCAAGGCGACGACGGGUAGCCGGCCUGAGAGGGCGACCGGCCACACUGGGACUGAGACACGGCCCAGACUCCUACGGGAGGCAGCAGUGGGGAAUAUUGCACAAUGGGCGAAAGCCUGAUGCAGCGACGCCGCGUGAGGGAUGACGGCCUUCGGGUUGUAAACCUCUUUCAGCAGGGAAGAAGCGAAAGUGACGGUACCUGCAGAAGAAGCACCGGACUAACUACGUG
Molecule: ribosomal RNA, 487 nt
Filed under: uncultured Janibacter sp.
Lineage: Bacteria; Bacillati; Actinomycetota; Actinomycetes; Micrococcales; Intrasporangiaceae
Description: bacterial SSU rRNA
Rfam family: Bacterial small subunit ribosomal RNA
Source: RNAcentral